AUCUUUUUGUAAUUUCUAAGCAUGGUGAUCGAUGGGCUUUCACGUGCAUCUGUGAGAUGUGACUCCUUCAAACCUUGUUGUGAAGUCAGCACAUUACCUGGCAGAAA
Molecule: small nucleolar RNA, 107 nt
Organism: Sapajus apella (tufted capuchin)
Lineage: Eukaryota; Metazoa; Chordata; Mammalia; Primates; Cebidae
Product: small nucleolar RNA U13
Exons: 1
Source: RefSeq, a predicted model, not a curated record